This is a long non-coding RNA of Eriocheir sinensis (Chinese mitten crab), 2420 nucleotides long. RefSeq lists it as uncharacterized. The transcript is spliced from 2 exons. Lineage: Eukaryota; Metazoa; Arthropoda; Malacostraca; Decapoda; Varunidae. The record is from RefSeq and is a predicted model, not a curated record.
AAAAAAUAUAUCUGCUUUAGAGUAUAUUUUUUUGUUCUGAUGUGUUGUGGCGUUUUAAGGAACUGUUUGAUAUUGGCACCAGCGACUUUUCAAAAUGAGACAAGGAUAUCUACGUAUAUAAGAAAAACAUCUGCUUGAGUAUAUAUUUUUUUGUUCUGAUGUGUUGUGGCAUUUUAAGGAACUUUAAUAUCAGCACCAACAGCUUUUCAAAAUGAGACAAGACUAUCUAUAUAAAAAAACACAUAACCUGAACUCAAACUACACUCGACUUUCCAUCAUGUAUAGCACAGGAUAUGUACUUCCCUGACUACAUAACCCCCUUUCUGAGAUGGAGUAUAUAUAUAUUUUUUUAAGGUGUGUUGCGGCAUUUUAAGGAACUUUAAUAUUGCCACCAACAGCUUUCCAAAAUGAGACAAGGCUAUCUAUAUAAGUAAAAAAAAAAAACAAUUUACAGUCAAGCUACACUCCACUUCCCAUCAUCUAUAGCACAGAAUACAUACUUCACUUCCCUUCACGCCACGGGGUCACGGCCAAAGAAUAAUACACAAUACACAACGACUACAUCUAUCUACGUAUCUAAGAAUGUAUAUAUAUGUCAGUCUGUAUCAGGGUUUAAAAAUAUACAGUAUACAUGGAGAGAUUUAUACAUGGGAGCCUACCUCUCGCGCGGGCAGAGUAUCCAGCUCUGCCCGGGGCCUGGUGGUGAUCGUGCAAGUGUUGGUGUGAGUGACCUGACGGGGAUGCAAGGUGGUGGUGGUGGUGGUGGUGGAUGGCCUGACCUCCCACUGACCUUCACCUCCACCGAUCAGAAACUAGGUCAGAGGUCACAGUGCUGGUGGGACACGACCUGCUGAUUCACUCUACAACGUCUUUGUGAAUUGCUAAGAAAACGCUAUAGAUUUGUCUGUAAAGUAUAUAUAUGCAUGACGAUAAGGUCUUGUGAAUUGCCGAGAUAACUAUAUAUUUGUUUCUACUGUAAAAUAUAUCCAUGACAGAUUUCCAUGACGAUAAAAUGUUUGUGAUUAGCGACGAAAAAACAACACAUUUGUCUCUACAGUAAAAAACAUGUAUGGUAGAUUUCCGUAAGGUUUUGUGAAUUGCCGAGAUAACUAUAUAUUUGUUUCUACUGUGAAAUAUACGCAUGACAAAUUUCUAUGACGAUAAAAUGUUUGUGAUUGGCGACGAAAAAACAACACAUUUGUCUCUACAGUAAAAAAACAUGUAUGGUAGAUUUCCGUGACGAUAACAUUUUCUGAAUUGCAACAGAAAACAAUAUAAUUUCUCUCUAUGGCAAAAACUAAGUAUGACAUAUGUUCAAAUAGGAGCAGAGUGUAGUGAGCUCCUUUGUUUUCAUUUGUUUUUACCCUUGAGCUGCUUCCUUUACCGUAAAAAAAUCAAAUAUCAUGACAACCUUCUCAUAGGCCAGCACCAAGCACCUGCCAUCAAGGGAGCUGUUAACCCGUCCGCUGCGAUUGGCACGGAUUUCGCCUUCACUGGUAGCCUGGUAACAUACGCUCCCAGGUCUUUCUCUGCCUCCGUGGUGGAUAGUGGAGUGUUUCCCAUGUGGUAUUGAAGGUUCAGGACUUCACAUUUUUCUCCAUUGAAUUGUAGCAGACACUAUUUGCUCCCCUCCCGUAGCUUGGUGAUGUCUUCUUGUAGGAAAUCCACGGUCAAGGGGUUAAGAGAAGCAGGAAAGACAGGCCUGUAUGUAUGUAUGCUAUAAGUCAUUUUUCUUCACUGAAUUGUAGCGGCCACUUUUUGCUCCCCUCCUGUAGCUUGGUGAUGUCUUCUUGUAGGAAAUCCGAAGCCAAGGGGUUAAGAGAAGCAGCACGGACAGGCACAUAUGUAUAUAGUAAAGAUAUAGUCACCACCAGAACUGUGUGUCUACCAAAUAUAAGCUUCACUCUGCGGAGCCUCAGGUGACUUGGUAGCCUUACAGGACUAACACUUUGGUAUCAGUUCAGCAUCCCAGAGUCUAGGUAUGUAACAGUGUUCUUUGGGGGCCGACACACACACUCGGCACUCAUCUUCAAACAUCACCUCUCAGGCUCUUCCUUCGUAAAUAUGGCCCCUUCUUAAAUAGCGUCUCCUGAUAUACAGCCUUCAUGGGUGAAUGAAAAUAAGCAUAAGGAAGCAUAAAAGUAAGCAGUAGAAAUGAAUGCAUGUGAAUAAAGUGAAUAAAAAUAAAAAUGAAUGAAAAAUAACAACUUGAAAGGCAAUAACAAUGAAUAAAUAUGAACACUAAAAUGAGUGAAAACAAUAAUAUAUUAAAAUAAAGACUCCACAAGCAACAAAAAAAUGAAUAAAUAUGAAUAAAAUCAAUUAAAAUCAAUAAAAAUUAAAACUACACAAGCAUCAUUAGCAGCACACACACACACACACACACACACACACACACACACACACACACACACUCACCC